RNAcentral lists this unclassified non-coding RNA (200 nucleotides) under Hevea brasiliensis (rubber tree). Lineage: Eukaryota; Viridiplantae; Streptophyta; Magnoliopsida; Malpighiales; Euphorbiaceae. The record is from RNAcentral.
CGGUCGCCAUCAAUCCGGCUUCGCCGAAGGUGCGGAUCAGGUCGGAAUCGGAAAACUGCAAGGCAAGGAACGACAGCGCCGCUGUGCCAUGGGUCAGCACGCAGGCCGGCCCAACCACCAGUACGGCGUUACGAAACNNUUUGUCCUCACCCGCAAUCAGGCGAUCUCGGGCAGCGAACGUAAGCUGCAUCGAGUCGGCA